This 406-nucleotide ribosomal RNA is filed under the name uncultured bacterium. Its description in RNAcentral is "bacterial SSU rRNA". It matches the Rfam family "Bacterial small subunit ribosomal RNA", at positions 28 to 429 of the family's 1533-position model. The record is from RNAcentral.
GAUGAACGCUAGCGGCAGGCUUAAUACAUGCAAGUCGAGGGGUAACAGGGGUAGCAAUACCUGCUGACGACCGGCAAACGGGUGCGGAACACGUACGCAACCUUCCCAUAACUGGUGAAUAGCCUUCCGAAAGGGAGAUUAAUACACCGUAACAUAAUGAAGUGGCAUCACUUUGUUAUUAUAGGCUUCGGCCGGUUUUGGAUGGGCGUGCGCCUGAUUAGGUAGUUGGCGGGGUAACGGCCCACCAAGCCUGCGAUCAGUAACUGGUGUGAGAGCACGACCAGUCACACGGGCACUGAGACACGGGCCCGACUCCGUACGGAGGCAGCAGUAAGGAAUAUUGGUCAAUGGACGAAAGUCUGAACCAGCCAUGCCGCGUGAAGGAUAAGGCCCUCUGGGUUGUAAA